Molecule: ribosomal RNA, 497 nt
Filed under: uncultured bacterium
Lineage: Bacteria
Description: partial 16S ribosomal RNA
Rfam family: Bacterial small subunit ribosomal RNA
Source: RNAcentral
GAUGAACGCUGGCGGCGUGCCUAAUACAUGCAAGUCGAGCGAAUAGAUAAGGAGCUUGCUCCUUUGACGUUAGCGGCGGACGGGUGAGUAACACGUGGGUAACCUACCUAUAAGACUGGAAUAACUCCGGGAAACCGGGGCUAAUGCCGGAUAACAUUUAGAACCGCAUGGUUCUAAAGUGAAAGAUGGUUUUGCUAUCACUUAUAGAUGGACCCGCGCCGUAUUAGCUAGUUGGUAAGGUAACGGCUUACCAAGGCAACGAUACGUAGCCGACCUGAGAGGGUGAUCGGCCACACUGGAACUGAGACACGGUCCAGACUCCUACGGGAGGCAGCAGUAGGGAAUCUUCCGCAAUGGGCGAAAGCCUGACGGAGCAACGCCGCGUGAGUGAUGAAGGUCUUCGGAUCGUAAAACUCUGUUAUUAGGGAAGAACAAAUGUGUAAGUAACUGUGCACGUCUUGACGGUACCUAAUCAGAAAGCCACGGCUAACUACGUG